CCUACGGGUGGCAGCAGUGGGGAAUAUUGGACAAUGGGCGAAAGCCUGAUCCAGCCAUGCCGCGUGUGUGAAGAAGGCCUUCGGGUUGUAAAGCACUUUCAGUGGGGAAGAAAGCCUUGGGGCUAAUACCCUCGAGGAAGGACAUCACCCACAGAAGAAGCACCGGCUAACUCCGUGCCAGCAGCCGCGGUAAUACGGAGGGUGCGAGCGUUAAUCGGAAUUACUGGGCGUAAAGCGCGCGUAGGCGGUCUGAUAAGCCGGUUGUGAAAGCCCCGGACUCAACCUGGGAACGGCGUCCGGAACUGUCAGGCUAGAGUGCAGGAGAGGAAGGUAGAAUUCCCGGUGUAGCGGUGAAAUGCGUAGAGAUCGGGAGGAAUACCAGUGGCGAAGGCGGCCUUCUGGACUGACACUGACGCUGAGGUGCGAAAGCGUGGGUAGCAAACAGGAUUAGAUACCCUAGUAGUC
Molecule: ribosomal RNA, 465 nt
Filed under: Vreelandella stevensii
Lineage: Bacteria; Pseudomonadati; Pseudomonadota; Gammaproteobacteria; Oceanospirillales; Halomonadaceae
Description: partial 16S ribosomal RNA
Rfam family: Bacterial small subunit ribosomal RNA
Source: RNAcentral